UUAAGGUAAGCUUCGUGCCUAGAUGCAUUCAGCACUUAUCUUAACUAACAUAGCUUUCCUGCCAUGCCUAUACUAUAAA
Molecule: transfer RNA, 79 nt
Filed under: Parastagonospora nodorum
Lineage: Eukaryota; Fungi; Ascomycota; Dothideomycetes; Pleosporales; Phaeosphaeriaceae
Description: tRNA-Lys
Source: RNAcentral